Long non-coding RNA from Acanthopagrus latus (yellowfin seabream), 881 nucleotides. RefSeq lists it as uncharacterized. The record is from RefSeq and is a predicted model, not a curated record. The transcript is spliced from 3 exons. NCBI's taxonomy places the organism in Eukaryota, Metazoa, Chordata, Actinopteri, Spariformes, Sparidae.
AUCUUGUCCCUGGCCCAUUGAGAACCUUGUUCCCCUUAGAUUGUUGGCCAGAAACUCUGGUCUCCCUAUUGUGUUUCUGCCCCACAUCAUUCUAGUGUGGAAACUGCAUUCUAUCUCAAGAACCCCUUGAAAUCCAAGCCCCUAUACACCCUCAGUGUAUUAUGCACUUAUUUCCCUGUGGCCUCUCUGGACACAACCAGCUGAUUCCUGAACGUGCGGUCACUGGGAGGCACAGUUGUCCCUCUUCGGGGCCGAGGCUAAUUGCUUCCCCAAACCUGCAGCUCCUCCAAACUAACGUGUCCCAGAUUCCAUUACCAACCCUGCCUCAAACUCACAGUGAGACUCAACAACCACAUUAUCAUGUGGCGGCAGAUGUAAUUAGUUGGAUUCAUCCUCUGGGGAACAUGUCUGCCCACAAUUUCAUGGCAAUCCACCCAAAAGGUGUUGAGCUAUUCAUUCCUGACCAAAGUGGCGACUGACCAGCAGACACACAGGCUGACACUGCGGCAGAACGGCCUCAUGUUGUACUUCUUCCAGCAUUCGAGGCGGUUUCACGCCGUCUGUCUGGCAUCAUGCAGCAGACUCACACUGAGCGCCGCUCGCAUUAGAAUUCAGAUUGAUCAGCUCGAUCCCAUAAUUCAUUUCUGCUCUGGUGGGAGCAUUGUCACCAAGCACAAGUGGCCAUCCAGUUGUCUGAUGAGCAUGAUAAUUAUUUCAGCCAUAUGCCAAGGAUUUUCAAAGCACCUGCUCUGGACCCAACAUCAGGCGGAGAUGGACCGGAGCCGAAGACACUGUUUGCCACUGACAAACCACCAUUAUUGACUUUCUCCUUAUUCAUUAUUUGCCUCUUUAUCUUGCACUGUUUGUCCUUUUUUUCCCUU